UCUACGGGCGGCUGCAGUGGGGAAUAUUGGACAAUGGGCGAAAGCCUGAUCCAGCCAUGCCGCGUGUGUGAAGAAGGCCUUCGGGUUGUAAAGCACUUUCAGUGGGGAAGAAAGCCUUGGGGCUAAUACCCUCGAGGAAGGACAUCACCCACAGAAGAAGCACCGGCUAACUCCGUGCCAGCAGCCGCGGUAAUACGGAGGGUGCGAGCGUUAAUCGGAAUUACUGGGCGUAAAGCGCGCGUAGGCGGUCUGAUAAGCCGGUUGUGAAAGCCCCGGGCUCAACCUGGGAACGGCAUCCGGAACUGUCAGGCUAGAGUGCAGGAGAGGAAGGUAGAAUUCCCGGUGUAGCGGUGAAAUGCGUAGAGAUCGGGAGGAAUACCAGUGGCGAAGGCGGCCUUCUGGACUGACACUGACGCUGAGGUGCGAAAGCGUGGGUAGCAAACAGGAUUAGAUACCCCAGUAGUC
Molecule: ribosomal RNA, 465 nt
Filed under: Vreelandella stevensii
Lineage: Bacteria; Pseudomonadati; Pseudomonadota; Gammaproteobacteria; Oceanospirillales; Halomonadaceae
Description: partial 16S ribosomal RNA
Rfam family: Bacterial small subunit ribosomal RNA
Source: RNAcentral